UAGGUCAGGUUCUUCAUUCAUUCAUCCAUCC
RNAcentral lists this non-coding RNA (31 nucleotides) under Mus musculus (house mouse). The record is from RNAcentral. Lineage: Eukaryota; Metazoa; Chordata; Mammalia; Rodentia; Muridae.